Molecule: long non-coding RNA, 1340 nt
Filed under: Astyanax mexicanus (Mexican tetra)
Lineage: Eukaryota; Metazoa; Chordata; Actinopteri; Characiformes; Acestrorhamphidae
Description: lncRNA (ENSAMXG00005009207.1)
Source: RNAcentral
AAGACCGUGACCAUCACCAGUUGUCUGUAGGAAUUAAUUGUUUGCAUUUAUUGCAGCAUUGAUGUCAAGAUCUCUACCAUCGCCUAUUUGAAUGAUUUAUCCGUGGGUUGGAUUGGUCAAUUUAAAAGUGCCCAACUAGACUACAAGCUACAGACAAGUGAUGUCGUUACUGUAGAAUAUAAUACAAUAUAUUAUAUUAGUGUGUUCACAUAAUACUUUAGUUACGCAAAGGUUUUGGGAAACACUCUUCAACUAACGAUCGUUAGCAAAGUUCUUCGCUUUACAAAGCUUUUAGGAAACCCACCACUGGUCAUCUGAUGCUUUAUGCUUCUUUAGCUGUAGAAAAUAAGUCAUCUGAUGUGCAGGAUUGAGACGCCUUAGUGCACGCAGUGAUUAAAAUACUGGUGAUAAUGGACAGGAGGACCUGUAUGGAAAGCUGCAGAGAUAAUGAUUGAUUGAUCACAUUCGACUCCCAGCACUGGAGUCUUGGGAUCAAGUCUCUAUCUGGAUGGAGUUUCCAUGUUCUCCCUGGGUGUGUGGGUUUCCUUUGGGGACUCCGGUUUCCUCACACAGUGCAAAAACAUGGAGAUCAGGUAAAUUGUGCUGGGCCAACUCCUCAGUGCCCGAUGCAGUCUUCCAGGUUACGGUUGUUUCCGGUUAAAAGUAUGCUGUGUGUGAUUUGCUGUCACUUCUCACCGAUGUGUGUUGAUUGUGUGUAGAAUGUAAUUGUAAGCGUCCUUGAGUGUCUUGAAGGCACUAUAUGUGUAAUUGUAUGUAAGUAGAUAUAAUAGUCUGUAAUUUUUUAUGUUCAAUCAGUGUAGUGUUGGCAUUUUGAAUUGCUUUUCUAAUAAAAGAGGUAUUGGUAUGUUUGCUGGCCUGAACAAAGAAGGUUAACUAAUCAGGAAACUGAUAAAACAAAACUGCUAAUAGCAUUUUGCAGUGGGAGAAAAGAUAACGACUUCAGAUGUGGAGGGCUGGUUACACUAGCAGAAAAAGCCAGGGACAGAGUGCAGGUGAAGAUAUGGUUUCAGAACAAACGGUCCAAAUACAAAAAAAUAAUGAAACAUGGCUCAGGUGGACAUUAAGGAGAACACCUUCAAGCAGCUGCAGCUUCAGGAACUCAGUGUUCACCAGCCAUGCCUCCAUUAUGGGACGUUUCAAUGCCAAACAAUGGUGCCCCCAUCCACACUGGAGGAUAUAUGAACUCUUUUGGGCACUGGUACCCAAGCCACCAUCAGGACUCGGUUUGGCCUGAACUCAAAUGAUUUGUGGGAUGAGCAAAACUCAUUUAAUUUUGAUGGCCACAGCACGAUUCAACAUUUUAUCUACUCCGAGAGGCU